GUCAGCCAAGCCCAAUGGGUCAAAGCUUCCACCUGGGUAGAUUGGGUCUGUGACCUUACAGAAUCGCCGGUGGGCCACUCGGUGAGGUCACAGACCCAAUCUACCCAGGUGGAAGCUUUGACCUCACCGAGUGGCCCACC
RNAcentral lists this microRNA precursor (140 nucleotides) under Hevea brasiliensis (rubber tree). Its description in RNAcentral is "miR6167 stem-loop (hbr-MIR6167)". Lineage: Eukaryota; Viridiplantae; Streptophyta; Magnoliopsida; Malpighiales; Euphorbiaceae. The record is from miRBase by way of RNAcentral.